GAUGAACGCUGGCGGCGCGCCUAAUACAUGCAAGUCGAGCGAACGGACGAGAAGCUUGCUUCUCUGAUGUUAGCGGCGGACGGGUGAGUAACACGUGGAUAACCUACCUAUAAGACUGGGAUAACUUCGGGAAACCGGAGCUAAUACCGGAUAAUAUUUUGAACCGCAUGGUUCAAAAGUGAAAGACGGUCUUGCUGUCACUUAUAGAUGGAUCCGCGCUGCAUUAGCUAGUUGGUAAGGUAACGGCUUACCAAGGCAACGAUGCAUAGCCGACCUGAGAGGGUGAUCGGCCACACUGGAACUGAGACACGGUCCAGACUCCUACGGGAGGCAGCAGUAGGGAAUCUUCCGCAAAGGGCGAAAGCCUGACGGAGCAACGCCGCGUGAGUGAUGAAGGUCUUCGGAUCGUAAAACUCUGUUAUUAGGGAAGAACAUAUGUGUAAGUAACUGUGCACAUCUUGACGGGACCUAAUCAGAAAGCCACGGCUAACUACGUG
RNAcentral lists this ribosomal RNA (497 nucleotides) under uncultured bacterium. RNAcentral describes it as "partial 16S ribosomal RNA". It matches the Rfam family "Bacterial small subunit ribosomal RNA", at positions 28 to 507 of the family's 1533-position model. The record is from RNAcentral.